CCUACGUGCGGCAGCAGUGAGGAAUAUUGGUCAAUGGGCGCGAGCCUGAACCAGCCAAGUAGCGUGAAGGAUGACUGCCCUACGGGUUGUAAACUUCUUUUAUAAAGGAAUAAAGUGAGGCACGUGUGCCUUUUUGUAUGUACUUUAUGAAUAAGGAUAGGCUAACUCCGUGCCAGCAGCCGCGGUAAUACGGAGGAUCCGAGCGUUAUCCGGAUUUAUUGGGUUUAAAGGGAGCGUAGAUGAGUUGUUAAGUCAGUUGUGAAAGUUUGCGGCUCAACCGUAAAAUUGCAAUUGAUACUGGCAGUCUUGAGUACAGUUGAGGUAGGCGGAAUUCGUGGUGUAGCGGUGAAAUGCUUAGAUAUCACGAAGAACUCCGAUUGCGAAGGCAGCUUACUAAACUGCCACUGACAUUGAUGCUCGAAAGUGUGGGUAUCAAACAGGAUUAGAUACCCUAGUAGUC
Molecule: ribosomal RNA, 460 nt
Filed under: uncultured bacterium
Lineage: Bacteria
Description: partial 16S ribosomal RNA
Rfam family: Bacterial small subunit ribosomal RNA
Source: RNAcentral